UGAAUACGAGACGCUAAGGCGUCGAAGUAGUGUAUGUCAUACUUCCAAGAAAAGCUUGCACUGUCAUAGAUAAAAAACGCCUGUACCAUAACCGACACAGGUGGGUAGGUAGAGUAUACUAAGGGGCGCGAGAUAACUCUCUCUAAGGAACUCGGCAAAAUAACUCCGUAACUUCGGGAGAAGGAGUGCCUUAUUCGUAAGGUUGCAAUAACAAGAUCCAAGCAACUGUUUAUCAAAAACACAGGUCUCCGCUAAGUCGUAAGACGAUGUAUGGGGGCUGACGCCUGCCCAGUGCCAGAAGGUUAAAGAAGUUGGUUAGCAAUUGCGAAGCUGAUAACUGAAGCCCUGGUGAACGGCGGCCGUAACAAUAACGGUCCUAAGGUAGCGAAAUUCCUUGUCGGGUAAGUUCCGACCCGCACGAAAGGCGUAAUGAUUUGGAUACUGUCUCGGAGUGGGGCUCGGUGAAAUAGACUUGUCUGUGAAGAUGCGGACUACCUGCACCAGGACAGAAAGACCCUAUGAAGCUUUACUGUAACUUGAAAUUGAAAUUGGACUUUAUUCGCGCAGUAUAGGUGGGAGGCGUUGAUUAUAAUCUUGUGGGAUUAUUGGAGCCAUCAGUGAGAUACCACUCUUGUAAUGUUAGAUUUCUAACUUUGAAUCAUUAUCUGGUCAAAGAACAGUUUCAGGCGGGCAGUUUGACUGGGGCGGUCGCCUCCUAAACGGUAACGGAGGCGUACAAAGGUUUCCUCUGAACGGUUAGAAAUCGUAUCUAGAGUGUAAAGGCAUAAGGAAGCUUGACUGUGAGACCUACAAGUCGAGCAGGGACGAAAGUCGGUCUUAGUGAUCUGACGGUACUGAGUGGAAAGGCCGUCACUCAACGGAUAAAAGUUACUCUAGGAUAACAGGCUGAUCUCCCCCAAGAGUUCACAUCGACGGGGAGGUUUGGCACCUCGAUGUCGGCUCAUCGCAUCCUGGGGCGGUAGUACGUCCCAGGGGUUGGGCUGUUCGCCCAUGAAAGCGGUACGCGAGCUGGGUUCAGAACGUCGUGAGACAGUUCGGUCCAUAUCCGGUGUAGGCGUUAGAAUAUUGAGAGGAGCCUUCUUUAGUACGAGAGGACCGAGAAGGACAUACCUCUGGUGUACCAGUUAUCGUGCCAACGGUAAACGCUGGGUAGCUAUGUAUGGAGUGGAUAACCGCUGAAAGCAUCUAAGUGGUAAGCCCACCUCAAGAUAAGUAUUCUCAUC
This 1244-nucleotide ribosomal RNA is filed under the name metagenome. Its description in RNAcentral is "bacterial LSU rRNA". It matches the Rfam family "Bacterial large subunit ribosomal RNA", at positions 1564 to 2818 of the family's 2925-position model. The record is from RNAcentral.